RNAcentral lists this ribosomal RNA (237 nucleotides) under uncultured bacterium. Its description in RNAcentral is "partial 16S ribosomal RNA". It matches the Rfam family "Bacterial small subunit ribosomal RNA", at positions 99 to 334 of the family's 1533-position model. The record is from RNAcentral.
CGAACGGGUGAGUAACGCGUGAGGAACCUGCCUCAAAGAGGGGGACAACAGUUGGAAACGACUGCUAAUACCGCAUAAGCCCACGGCUCGGCAUCGAGCAGAGGGAAAAGGAGUGAUCCGCUUUGAGAUGGCCUCGCGUCCGAUUAGCUAGUUGGUGAGGUAACGGCCCACCAAGGCAACGAUCGGUAGCCGGACUGGGAGGUUGAACGGCCACAUUGGGACUGAGACACGGCCCAA